GUUUAUCAGCCUAAUUCAACCUAUAUUGCAUGCAUUAAUUGUUUGCUAACAACAUAGCUUACAAAUUCAUAAAUCGAAAUUACACAUCGAGUCUACAUACCAAAAUCGAAACUACUGCCUACAUAAGAAUGAGUGAAAAAGCAGAACACAUUUGUAAAAUGUACGCUACAGUACAUCCCAAACCCAAAGCAGAGUAUUAAAAUGAACACUGUCCAUUUUAAAAUUGUACACAUUUAUUUUCUACAACUGUUCCUGCGCCACAUUGUCCAGUUCCAUAUCUACUUCUUCUCAUAUUUCAAUUACAUGAAAACACAAGAGAAAUCAUCAGGAUUAAAAACCUAUAUUAAAAAAAAUAGUUUUUGAACAGCUAUAUGAACAAUUACUUGCACUUUGCACAUAAAUGAAUCUAGCAUUUGGACCAUUUGGUCAUAUUUGUUAUUUGUAAAUACUAAAACAUAAAUGAAUCUAUAUUAACACAAACAUAGUUCCAGAUGCGAUUUCUUUAACUACAGACACCAAAGUACAAUAUUGUAUUCACUUCUUAUACCACCUGUGAACACCAGCUGCAAAUUCAUAGAGACAUCACAAAAAAAAGACUGCAGAAUCCACAGUAGCUUCCAAUUUCACACUAAUCUGUCAUUAAAUCUGAACUCCAGUGAUGAGGUCUACUGGUUGUAAAGUUGGAUCAAGAUAUGCUGGUAAAAGAUCUUUUAUUCCCAGUUCUUCCACUGAAAUAAAGAGAAAGACUAAGGACUAUUCUCUAAUGUUAUUGUCGAUAAGACAAUACUCAAAAUGCUUAUAUGUCAAACUCUUCUUACCAAUAAGUCUGGUGGAAUUUUUCCAUUAGAAAACCUUCCAGUUGGUUGUCCCCCUAUGAAAUCCUUUCCAUAAGGAGGAUAAUUAACCUUCCCUAUUGUUUUGAGGCCAUUAUUGUUACCGGUAUCAACAAUAGAGUCUCCAAAAACUAUCAAUGCUGGUAUAGACUUAUUAGAAGGUACCCUUAUGACUGCCUGGACAUUGCACAUUAGAAGUGCAAAACAAAUUCUUGAGAAUACAAGAAAAGUAUAAAUUUUGAAAAAGAAGAACUCCAUUGAUAAAGCUGAAAGCAUCUCUCGGAGCAUGGAGGAAUUAAGAAACACACAAGCACUAGUAUUUAACUUUAAGAAUCAAGAACUCAAUUUCAACAGGAAACAUGAGGGCAUCCUGCUAAGUAAAUGCUUGGUUGGCACAACAUUGAUUGCACUACUAGUUGAUUUAAUGUUUUCUUUAUCACAGAGACCAUUAUAGAAAGGCGAAUGCAGCUUUAGUUUCAGUAAAAUCUACAACACAGCAGCAAGCAGGAGCUAUCAUGUCAUCCUAUGUACAUUAAGCUGAUCACAUUUAGCUAUCAAAAUAUUAAAGUCAUGUGCUAAUUCUAGUGCUUCCCACUGUUAGUUCGAUUAAAGCUUAUAUACAACAAAUACUUGAAGCCUUGAUGGGUCAAAUUCGAAUUCUUACAAAAUAUAUUAACACUACACGUCAAUUACGGAAGGCUCUUUUCCAUUGCUGGCUAAAUCUGAAGAAAAAAAUUAAAACAAUGAGUCGUGCGAUAAAUAUAAGCAUAUCAACAACACUUAUAUACAACAAAUAAUGUCUACCACAUUUUCUUUCUAAAAUCUAUCAAUUAGGGAUAUAUAACACAAUAUUCAUAUCGACAUUACAAGACACAACAAUUUGACAUUGAGAAAUCUUAACCUUUCUUCCUCCUUUUCCCCUUUUGUUUGUUCCUUUACAUUGAAAUAUAUAAUUAACGCCACAUCCAUAAAGGUACAAUGGGUGCACUGUUUACUGCAUCUAUGUACUUGAAUCCGGUUCUUCCUAGAAGUACUAUGGAACUUUAACCCAAGGUGAUGGCAAUGUUACAUUAGCAAUCAAAAACGGCUUAAACUCAGUCAUAUGACAAGGGAAUGUUCCAUUAAUUAAACACUGAUUCACUGCAUAAAAUCGAUUCAGAGCACUGCACAUCGAGCGAAAAUGUAUGAAUUGCAAGGUAAAAAACACAGAUACCUGCUGGUGGUGGACUGCUGGAAGUCGACGAGAAGGGCGUUAGGGUUUCUGUCUUACGCGUUAGAGAGUAGAGACAGAGUACUGGAACUCUGUGGAAGGG
RNAcentral lists this long non-coding RNA (2146 nucleotides) under Nicotiana tabacum (common tobacco). Its description in RNAcentral is "long non-coding RNA (NTAB_LNC003985)". Lineage: Eukaryota; Viridiplantae; Streptophyta; Magnoliopsida; Solanales; Solanaceae. The record is from RNAcentral.